UAGGGAAUAUUGGACAAUGGGCGCAAGCCUGAUCCAGCAAUGCCGCGUGAGUGAUGAAGGCCUUAGGGUUGUAAAGCUCUUUCGCACGCGACGAUGAUGACGGUAGCGUGAGAAGAAGCCCCGGCUAACUUCGUGCCAGCAGCCGCGGUAAUACGAAGGGGGCUAGCGUUGUUCGGAAUUACUGGGCGUAAAGGGCGCGUAGGCGGCCUGUUUAGUCAGAAGUGAAAGCCCCGGGCUCAACCUGGGAAUAGCUUUUGAUACUGGCAGGCUUGAGUUCCGGAGAGGAUGGUGGAAUUCCCAGUGUAGAGGUGAAAUUCGUAGAUAUUGGGAAGAACACCGGUGGCGAAGGCGGCCAUCUGGACGGACACUGACGCUGAGGCGCGAAAGCGUGGGGAGCAAACA
RNAcentral lists this ribosomal RNA (402 nucleotides) under uncultured Azospirillum sp. RNAcentral's name for it is "bacterial SSU rRNA". It matches the Rfam family "Bacterial small subunit ribosomal RNA", at positions 355 to 774 of the family's 1533-position model. The record is from RNAcentral. Lineage: Bacteria; Pseudomonadati; Pseudomonadota; Alphaproteobacteria; Rhodospirillales; Azospirillaceae.